GGCAGUGUGGCCGAGUGGUUAUGGCGCUGCGUUCAGGUUUACCUGAAUUCCAACUUCGCAGUGGAGCAAUCCGCGUGGGUUCGAGUCCCACCGCUGUCA
Daldinia vernicosa is the source of this 99-nucleotide non-coding RNA. NCBI's taxonomy places the organism in Eukaryota, Fungi, Ascomycota, Sordariomycetes, Xylariales, Hypoxylaceae. The record is from the annotation of a RefSeq genome assembly.